CGGCAGCACGGGGCAACCUGGUGGCGAGUGGCGAACGGGUGAGUAAUACAUCGGAACGUGCCCAAUCGUGGGGGAUAACGUAGCGAAAGCUACGCUAAUACCGCAUACGAUCUACGGAUGAAAGCGGGGGAUCGCAAGACCUCGCGCGAAUGGAGCGGCCGAUGGCAGAUUAGGUAGUUGGUGGGGUAAAGGCUCACCAAGCCUGCGAUCUGUAGCUGGUCUGAGAGGACGACCAGCCACACUGGGACUGAGACACGGCCCAGACUCCUACGGGAGGCAGCAGUGGGGAAUUUUGGACAAUGGGCGCAAGCCUGAUCCAGCCAUUCCGCGUGCAGGAUGAAGGCCCUCGGGUUGUAAACUGCUUUUGUACGGAACGAAAAGGCCUUGGCUAAUACCUGGGGCUCAUGACGGUACCGUAAGAAUAAGCACCGGCUAACUACGUGCCAGCAGCCGCGGUAAUACGUAGGGUGCGAGCGUUAAUCGGAAUUACUGGGCGUAAAGCGUGCGCAGGCGGUGAUGUAAGACAGAUGUGAAAUCCCCGGGCUCAACCUGGGAACUGCAUUUGUGACUGCAUCGCUGGAGUGCGGCAG
RNAcentral lists this ribosomal RNA (590 nucleotides) under Ramlibacter sp. RNAcentral's name for it is "bacterial SSU rRNA". It matches the Rfam family "Bacterial small subunit ribosomal RNA", at positions 67 to 654 of the family's 1533-position model. Lineage: Bacteria; Pseudomonadati; Pseudomonadota; Betaproteobacteria; Burkholderiales; Comamonadaceae. The record is from RNAcentral.